UUGAUGUUAUUUAAUUUUGAUCGGAUUAUUAACAUUAAGCAGCUUCUGAAUUUUUUGAUCAGUAUCCAGAUUUUUCAGGAUCUAUACUAAAAAAUGUAUUUCAUAUUCCUCAAAGAAAUAACAUCAGUGAAUUUUCAAUUAAAGUACAAGAUCACCAAGUGCUGGAUCCCAUUCUAGAUCAUAAUUUUUACCAUUACGAGAAACUUUGACCUUAGAGUAACCGUAACUUCUUCGCCAUGGAUUUCUUAACUUAGGGCAAGGUUGGAUGUUUGCAGACUAAAUUUGGCUUGAGAUGAUCUCUGAUCUGCACUUGAAUUAUCCAAUCAAGGUGACAGUCACAGUUCCAAGGAUUCCCUGUUAAA
Tetranychus urticae (two-spotted spider mite) is the source of this 362-nucleotide non-coding RNA. NCBI's taxonomy places the organism in Eukaryota, Metazoa, Arthropoda, Arachnida, Trombidiformes, Tetranychidae. The record is from RefSeq and is a predicted model, not a curated record.